RNAcentral lists this small RNA (603 nucleotides) under Pongo abelii (Sumatran orangutan). RNAcentral describes it as "processed transcript". Lineage: Eukaryota; Metazoa; Chordata; Mammalia; Primates; Hominidae. The record is from RNAcentral.
AACUAGCGGGACUGAGCGCUCCACAGGCGCCUUCUCUCCAGCGCCGCGUCCCGUCCCCCACGGCAUGACCGACGUCCUGCCCCAGCCCGACUGCAGCCCGGAGGCGGGGCGCGAACCCCUGGAGCUGGAGGAGUCGGGGAGCAAGCGCCCCCCCAACACUGGCGCCCGGCUCUGGGGCCGCGUGCGCAACAAGCUGCUCCGAAACAAGCUGGACCCACAAACUGUGGAGACCAAGAACUGGCACACGGACGUGAUUGAGAUGAACGGGAUCAAAGUGGAAUUUUCCAUGAAAUUCACCAGCCGAGAUAUGAGCCUGAAGAGGACGCCGUCCAAAAAGCAGACCGGCGUCUUCGGUGUGAAGAUCAGCGUCGUGACUAAGCGGGAGCGCUCCAAGGUGCCCUACAUCGUCCGGCAGUGCGUGGAGGAGGUGGAGAAGAGAGGCAUCGAGGAGGUUGGCAUCUACCGGAUCUCGGGCGUGGCCACGGACAUCCAGGCGCUCAAGGCCGUCUUCGAUGCCAGUAAGGAACUGCAGAAACUCAGAAGGGCCAAGUCGCUUGCCCAGGAUGACCCAACUUGUAGGUUUUGGUUCUGGACUUAAACUCA